Molecule: long non-coding RNA, 275 nt
Organism: Amphibalanus amphitrite
Lineage: Eukaryota; Metazoa; Arthropoda; Thecostraca; Balanomorpha; Balanidae
Exons: 2
Source: RefSeq, a predicted model, not a curated record
AAAAUCAGUUCCUUUAUUACCUAACUUGGUUUGUUCUUGAUUGAGCCUGAGUUUUUGUUUUUCAUUUAAAUUCAGCCUAAAUUCUAAGUAACAAUUGAAAUCAUGAGGAUUUUCAGCAUUACGCUGCUGUGCCUAGCCAUCUUUGUGAUUGCUACAGAGGCCCGUAGUGCACAUCGUCGGCGUCCUUACGAAUAUGAUGAACGCGACGACGACGGAAAGAGGCCUUUGGACGAAAAGUCUGGACACGUCGUCAAGAAAAUAGGCCAGCUUCUCAA